GCAGUCGAACGGUAGAGGGGGCAACCCCUUGAGAGUGGCGAACGGCUGAGUAAUAUAUCGGAACGUGCCCAGUCGUGGGGGAUAACGUAGCGAAAGUUACGCUAAUACCGCAUACGAUCUAAGGAUGAAAGCGGGGGAUCGCAAGACCUCGCGCGAUUGGAGCGGCCGAUAUCAGAUUAGGUAGUUGGUGGGGUAAAGGCUCACCAAGCCAACGAUCUGUAGCUGGUCUGAGAGGACGACCAGCCACACUGGAACUGAGACACGGUCCAGACUCCUACGGGAGGCAGCAGUGGGGAAUUUUGGACAAUGGACGCAAGUCUGAUCCAGCCAUUCCGCGUGCAGGAUGAAGGCCCUCGGGUUGUAAACUGCUUUUGUACGGAACGAAAAGGUUUCUCUCAAUACGAGGAGCUCAUGACGGUACCGUAAGAAUAAGCACCGGCUAACUACGUGCCAGCAGCCGCGGUAAUACGUAGGGUGCAAGCGUUAAUCGGAAUUACUGGGCGUAAAGCGUGCGCAGGCGGUUAUGUAAGACAGAGGUGAAAUCCCCGGGCUCAACCUGGGAACUGCCUUUGUGACUGCAUAGCUAGAGUACGGUAGAGGGGGAUGGAAUUCCGCGUGUAGCAGUGAAAUGCGUAGAUAUGCGGAGGAACACCGAUGGCGAAGGCAAUCCCCUGGACCUGUACUGACGCUCAUGCACGAAAGCGUGNGGAGCAAACAGGAUUAGAUACCCUGGUAGUCCACGCCCUAAACGAUGUCAACUGGUUGUUGGGUCUUCACUGACUCAGUAACGAAGCUAACGCGUGAAGUUGACCGCCUGGGGAGUACGGCCGCAAGGGUGAAACUCAAAGGAAUUGACGGGGGACCGCACAAGCGGUGGAUGACGUGGUUUAAUUCGA
RNAcentral lists this ribosomal RNA (896 nucleotides) under uncultured Comamonadaceae bacterium. Its description in RNAcentral is "bacterial SSU rRNA". It matches the Rfam family "Bacterial small subunit ribosomal RNA", at positions 57 to 954 of the family's 1533-position model. The record is from RNAcentral. Lineage: Bacteria; Pseudomonadati; Pseudomonadota; Betaproteobacteria; Burkholderiales; Comamonadaceae.